RNAcentral lists this ribosomal RNA (303 nucleotides) under Pelagophyceae sp. RCC5685. Its description in RNAcentral is "SSU rRNA". The stretch from base 100 to 303 matches the Rfam family "Eukaryotic small subunit ribosomal RNA", at positions 738 to 942 of the family's 1831-position model. The record is from RNAcentral. Lineage: Eukaryota; Pelagophyceae.
UUCCUGGCCUGGGGUAGCCGGUCCGCCUUGGAAAGGUGCGCACUGUGCGGCCUCGGCCAUCCUUGAGAAGAGCUGUUCUGGCAUUCAGUUGUCGGGGCGGGGAUUCUCGACGUUUACUGUGAAAAAAUCAGAGUGUUCAAAGCAGGCUUACGCCUUGAAUACAUUACCAUGGAAUAAUGAGAUAGGACCUUGGCGGUCUAUUUUGUUGGUUUGCACGCCGAGGUAAUGAUUAAAAGGGACGGUUGGGGUUCUUCCUAUUCAAUUGUCGGAGGUGAAAUUCUUGGAUUUAUGGAAGACGAACUG